AGAAGCAAGACCGCGAGGUGGGAGCAAAACUACAAAAAAUGGUCUCAGUUCGGACUGCAGGCUGCAACCCGUCUGCACGAAGUUGGAAUUGCUAGUAAUCGUGGAUCAGCAUGCCACGGUGAAUACGUUCCCGGGUCUUGUACACACCGCCCGUCACACCAUGGGAGUCGGUAACACCCGAAGUCAGUAGUCUAACCGCAAGGAGGACGCUGCCGAAGGUGGGAUUGACGACUGGGGUGAAGUCGUAACAAGGUAAC
This 257-nucleotide ribosomal RNA is filed under the name uncultured bacterium. Its description in RNAcentral is "partial 16S ribosomal RNA". It matches the Rfam family "Bacterial small subunit ribosomal RNA", at positions 1245 to 1500 of the family's 1533-position model. The record is from RNAcentral.